RNAcentral lists this ribosomal RNA (208 nucleotides) under uncultured bacterium. RNAcentral describes it as "partial 16S ribosomal RNA". It matches the Rfam family "Bacterial small subunit ribosomal RNA", at positions 568 to 774 of the family's 1533-position model. The record is from RNAcentral.
CGCGUAGGCGGCCACCGCAAGUCGACUGUGAAAUCUCCGGGCUUAACCCGGAACGGUCAGCCGAUACUGCGGGGCUAGAGUGCAGAAGGGGCAACUGGAAUUCUCGGUGUAGCGGUGAAAUGCGUAGAUAUCGAGAGGAACACCUGCGGCGAAGGCGGGUUGCUGGGCUGACACUGACGCUGAAGUGCGAAAGCUAGGGGAGCGAACG